AAGUCGUAACAAGGUAUCCGUAGGUGAACCUGCGGAUGGAUCAUUACCAAUUUAUAUGUUAGUUUGUAUACCGCUGUCAAAGGGGGUUAUACACAACUACUAUGUAAACGUUGAACUAGAUCAAUUGGUGUGGAUUGCUUGGGAAUGGACGAAGCGAUGAGCCUCUUCCGGACAGGCAAGCCCCACACUGAUAACCUUUUUCAUAUCAUUUACUCGUAUAUACUACCACAACAACAAAAAACAAAAGCUAUAAUAGGACUUAUUAACGGCUGAGUGGGUAACAUCCUCGGCUUAAACAUAUAACUAUUACAACUUUCAGCAAUGGAUCUCUAGGCUCUC
Molecule: unclassified non-coding RNA, 339 nt
Filed under: Ramicandelaber sp.
Lineage: Eukaryota; Fungi; Kickxellomycota; Ramicandelaberales; Ramicandelaberaceae
Description: partial internal transcribed spacer region
Rfam family: Eukaryotic small subunit ribosomal RNA (bases 1-46)
Source: RNAcentral